This 497-nucleotide ribosomal RNA is filed under the name uncultured bacterium. RNAcentral describes it as "partial 16S ribosomal RNA". It matches the Rfam family "Bacterial small subunit ribosomal RNA", at positions 28 to 507 of the family's 1533-position model. The record is from RNAcentral.
GAUGAACGCUGGCGGCGUGCCUAAUACAUGCAAGUCGAGCGGACGGACGAUAAGAUUGCUUCUUUGCUGUUAGCGGCUGACGGGUGAGUAACGCGUGGAUCACCUACUUAUAUUUCUGGGAUAAUUACGGGACACAGGUGAUAAUACUAGAGCAUACUUUGUACCGCUGGGUUCAAAAGAGAAUGGCAGUCUUGCUGUCUCAUAUAGCUGGUUCCGCGCUGGAUUAGCUAGUUGGUAAGGUAACGGCUUACCAAGGAGACGAUGCGUAGCCGACCUGAGAGGAUGAUCGGCCACACUGGAACUGAGACACGGUCCAGACUCCUACGGGAGGCAGCAGUAGGGAAUCUUCGGCAAUGGGCGAAAGCCUGACGCAGCAACGCCGCGUGAGUGAUGAAGGCCUUCGGGUCGUAAAACCCUGUUAUUGGGAAAGAACAGAUGUGGAAUUAAACGUAGACGUCUUGACGGUACCGAAUCAAAAAGCCACGGCUAACUACGUG